GACGAACGCUGGCGGCGUGCUUAACACAUGCAAGUCGAACGGACAGACAGAGAGCUUGCUCUCUUGAAGUUAGUGGCGAACGGGUGAGUAACGCGUAAUCAACCUGCCCUUCAGAGGGGGAUAACAACGGGAAACCGUUGCUAAUACCGCGUACGAUUCAUGAACGGCAUCGUUUAUGAAUGAAAGGUGGCCUCUAUGUAUAAGCUAUCGCUGAAGGAGGGGAUUGCGUCUGAUUAGCUAGUUGGAGGGGUAACGGCCCACCAAGGCAAUGAUAAAUAGCCGGUCUGAGAGGAUGACCGGCCACAUUGGGACUGAGACACGGCCCAAACUCCUACGGGAGGCAGCAGUGGGGAAUCUUCCGCAAUGGACGAAAGUCUGACGGAGCAACGCCGCGUGAGUGAUGAAGGUCUUCGGAUUGUAAAGCUCUGUUAAUCGGGACGAAAGAGUUCUGCGUGAAUAAUGCAGAAAAGUGACGGUACCGGAAUAGAAAGCCACGGCUAACUACGUGCCAGCCGCCGCCGUAA
Molecule: ribosomal RNA, 524 nt
Filed under: uncultured bacterium
Lineage: Bacteria
Description: partial 16S ribosomal RNA
Rfam family: Bacterial small subunit ribosomal RNA
Source: RNAcentral